AUGAACGCUGGCGGCGUGCCUCAUACCUGCCAGUCGCGCGAACAGACGAGGAGCUUGCUCCUCUGACGUUAGCGGCGGACGGGUGAGUAACACGUGGAUAACCUACCUAUAAGACUGGGAUAACUUCGGGAAACCGGAGCUAAUACCGGAUAACAUGUUGAACCGCAUGGUUUAACAGUGAAAGACGGUCUUGCUGUCACUUAUAGAUGGAUCCGCGCCGCAUUAGCUAGUUGGUAAGGUAACGGCUUACCAAGGCAACGAUGCGUAGCCGACCUGAGAGGGUGAUCGGCCACACUGGAACUGAGACACGGUCCAGACUCCUACGGGAGGCAGCAGUAGGGAAUCUUCCGCAAUGGGCGAAAGCCUGACGGAGCAACGCCGCGUGAGUGAAGAAGGUCUUCGGAUCGUAAAACUCUGUUAUUAGGGAAGAACAAAUGUGUAAGUAACUAUGCACGUCUUGACGGUACCUAAUCAGAAAGCCACGGCUAACUACGUG
Molecule: ribosomal RNA, 496 nt
Filed under: uncultured bacterium
Lineage: Bacteria
Description: partial 16S ribosomal RNA
Rfam family: Bacterial small subunit ribosomal RNA
Source: RNAcentral